GCGAACCCAGCAUUCUACAGGGCCGCCUGGCCAAUAGAGCCAGAAGCCGGGGCAUCCAUUCGACAGGGCCUCCUGACCAAUAGAGACAGAAGCCGGGGCUGCCAUAGCUUCUGCUUCGAUUAGUUUCUUGUGUCCUGGAAAAAAGUGAAACAGAGUUCCGGUUCUUCUUUCGCCGAAUGACUCCAGAAUUGUGUAAAAGCCUAAACAACAGGCCUGGUCUAUGAGGAGGAUCUACUAUCGGAAAUCGAUAUUCCCAUUCCCGCUGCCUUAGCAAUGGUGAUACCAAAUAUCACGUACCAAAAAAUGAUAGCUAUCAACGCUAUCUAACAGGCGCUCAUGGACGAUGAUGAGACAUUCUAUCUAACAAUGAGAAUUAUCUCAAUUUAUCUCAUAGUUGGCAUUACAGUCAGUGGGUUUGGAUUUCAAAGAUGUUAAAACAAUAUCCCUUAGAGAGGAGUUAGUCAUUGAUAACAGUGAGAGUUUCAUGAUAUUGUUGUUAUGAAACGAUGAAAUUUUAGAAGCAAUAAUUGAUUAGGAGAUGAUCGAUGUUUAGUGGGUGUUCUAAUCUUGUGUUUGGUGCAUUAUGUGCUUGAUAAUGAGAUGAACGAUACUUUUGAAGGUGGUUAAAGGGAAUAUUAUCUAAAGUAGUAAAGAUUACUCCUAUUUAGAUCGAUAAUUAUGAAGUUAGUUAAAG
This 694-nucleotide long non-coding RNA is filed under the name Amborella trichopoda. RNAcentral's name for it is "long non-coding RNA (ATRI_LNC001934)". Lineage: Eukaryota; Viridiplantae; Streptophyta; Magnoliopsida; Amborellales; Amborellaceae. The record is from RNAcentral.